This 328-nucleotide ribosomal RNA is filed under the name uncultured Pseudomonas sp. RNAcentral describes it as "bacterial SSU rRNA". It matches the Rfam family "Bacterial small subunit ribosomal RNA", at positions 1059 to 1382 of the family's 1533-position model. The record is from RNAcentral. Lineage: Bacteria; Pseudomonadati; Pseudomonadota; Gammaproteobacteria; Pseudomonadales; Pseudomonadaceae.
CUCGUGUCGUGAGGUAUCGUUGGGUUAAGUCCCGUAACGAGCGCAACCCUUGUCCUUAGUUACCAGCACGUUAUGGUGGGCACUCUAAGGAGACUGCCGGUGACAAACCGGAGGAAGGUGGGGGAUGACGUCAAGUCAUCAUGGCCCUUACGGCCUGGGCUACACACGUGCUACAAUGGUCGGUACAAAGGGGUUGCCAAGCCGCGAGGUGGAGCUAAUCCCAUAAACCGAUCGUAGUCCGGAUCGCAGUCUGCAACUCGACUGCGUGAAGUCGGAAUCGCUAGUAAUCGUGAAUCAGAAUGUCACGGUGAAUACGUUCCCGGGCCUU